Molecule: ribosomal RNA, 468 nt
Filed under: uncultured bacterium
Lineage: Bacteria
Description: partial 16S ribosomal RNA
Rfam family: Bacterial small subunit ribosomal RNA
Source: RNAcentral
GACGAACGCUGGCGGCGUGCUUAACACAUGCAAGUCGAACGGAAAGGCCCGGCUUUUGUGCGGUGCUCGAGUGGCGAACGGGUGAGUAACACGUGAGUAACCUGCCCUUGACUUUGGGAUAACUUCAGGAAACUGGGGCUAAUACCGGAUAGGAGCUCCUGCUGCAUGGUGGGGGUUGGAAAGUUUCGGCGGUUGGGGAUGGACUCGCGGCUUAUCAGCUUGUUGGUGGGGUAGUGGCUUACCAAGGCUUUGACGGGUAGCCGGCCUGAGAGGGUGACCGGCCACAUUGGGACUGAGAUACGGCCCAGACUCCUACGGGAGGCAGCAGUGGGGAAUAUUGCACAAUGGGCGGAAGCCUGAUGCAGCCAAGCCGCGUGGGGGAUGACGGCCUUCGGGUUGUAAACCGCUUUCGCCUGUGACGAAGCGUGAGUGACGGUAAUGGGUAAAGAAGCACCGGCUAACUACGUG